Small nucleolar RNA from Triplophysa rosa, 146 nucleotides. NCBI's taxonomy places the organism in Eukaryota, Metazoa, Chordata, Actinopteri, Cypriniformes, Nemacheilidae. The record is from RefSeq and is a predicted model, not a curated record.
CCUCAGUGAUGAUACGAUGACGAGUCGGAAAAGGACCGGUUCUGUUCGAGGAUUCUGGGUCAGGUGCAUGUUUUGUGCUUCUGGCUGCAGGUCCUCAAAACAGAGUCCUCUUUGCUUGAAGACAUCGAGGCAUUUGUCUGAGAGGG